GACAGAGGUGGCAAGCGUUGUUCGGAUUCAUUGGGUGUAAAGGGCAGGUAGGCGGCCUAGCAAGUCUGGCGUGAAAUCCCAUGGCUCAACCAUGGAACUGCGUUGGAAACUGCUUGGCUUGAGUAUCGGAGAGGUAAGGGGAAUUCUCGGUGUAAGGGUGAAAUCUGUAGAUAUCGAGAGGAACACCAGUGGCGAAGGCGCCUUACUGGCCGAUUACUGACGCUGAGCUGCGAAAGCAAGGGGAGCAAACAGG
Molecule: ribosomal RNA, 253 nt
Filed under: uncultured bacterium
Lineage: Bacteria
Description: partial 16S ribosomal RNA
Rfam family: Bacterial small subunit ribosomal RNA
Source: RNAcentral